AGUGAACGCUGGUGGUAGGCCUAACACAUGCAAGUCGAACGGCAGCACAGUAAGAGCUUGCUCUUACGGGUGGCGAGUGGCGGACGGGUGAGGAAUACAUCGGAAUCUACUUUUUCGUGGGGGAUAACGUAGGGAAACUUACGCUAAUACCGCAUACGACCUACGGGUGAAAGCAGGGGAUCUUCGGACCUUGCGCGAUUGAAUGAGCGGAUGUCGGAUUAGCUAGUUGGCGGGGUAAAGGCCCACCAAGGCGACGAUCCGUAGCUGGUCUGAGAGGAUGAUCAGCCACACUGGAACUGAGACACGGUCCAGACUACUACGGGAGGCAGCAGUGGGGAAUAUUGGACAAUGGGCGCAAGCCUGAUCCAGCCAUACCGCGUGGGUGAAGAAGGCCUUCGGGUUGUAAAGCCCUUUUGUUGGGAAAGAAAAGCAGCAGGUUAAUACCCCGCUGUUCUGACGGUACCCAAAGAAUAAGCACCGGCUAACUUCGUG
RNAcentral lists this ribosomal RNA (492 nucleotides) under uncultured bacterium. Its description in RNAcentral is "partial 16S ribosomal RNA". It matches the Rfam family "Bacterial small subunit ribosomal RNA", at positions 29 to 507 of the family's 1533-position model. The record is from RNAcentral.